ACGUAGGGUGCGAGCGUUAAUCGGAAUUACUGGGCGUAAAGCGUGCGCAGGCGGUCUUGCAAGACAGGUGUGAAAUCCCCGGGCUUAACCUGGGAACUGCACUUGUGACUGCAAGGCUGGAGUACGGCAGAGGGGGAUGGAAUUCCGCGUGUAGCAGUGAAAUGCGUAGAUAUGCGGAGGAACACCGAUGGCGAAGGCAAUCCCCUGGGCCUGUACUGACGCUCAUGCACGAAAGCGUGGGGAGCAAACAGG
RNAcentral lists this ribosomal RNA (252 nucleotides) under uncultured bacterium. RNAcentral's name for it is "partial 16S ribosomal RNA". It matches the Rfam family "Bacterial small subunit ribosomal RNA", at positions 525 to 776 of the family's 1533-position model. The record is from RNAcentral.